UCCAAAACAUCACUAAGACAGCAGUACAGGAAGAUCCAAAACAUCACUAAGACAACAGUACAGGAAGAUCCAAAACAUCACUAAGACAGCAGUACAGGGAGAUCCAAAACAUCACUAAGACAACAGUACAGGGAGAUCCAAAACAUCACUAAGACAACAGUACAUGGAGUUCCAAAACAUCACUAAGACAACAGUACAGGGAGAUCCAAAACAUCACUAAGACAACAGUACAGGAAGAUCCAAAACAUCACUAAGACAACAGUACAGGGAGUUCCAAAACAUCACUAAGACAACAGUACAGGGAGUUCCAAAACAUCACUAAGACAGCAGUACAGGAAGUUAC
Molecule: non-coding RNA, 343 nt
Organism: Oncorhynchus mykiss (rainbow trout)
Lineage: Eukaryota; Metazoa; Chordata; Actinopteri; Salmoniformes; Salmonidae
Source: RefSeq, a predicted model, not a curated record